Molecule: ribosomal RNA, 502 nt
Filed under: uncultured bacterium
Lineage: Bacteria
Description: partial 16S ribosomal RNA
Rfam family: Bacterial small subunit ribosomal RNA
Source: RNAcentral
GACGAACGCUGGCGGCGUGCUUAACACAUGCAAGUCGAACGGUGAAGGGGUCUGCUUUUGUGGGCCCUGGAUGAGUGGCGAACGGGUGAGUAACACGUGAGUAACCUGCCCCCUUCUUCUGGAUAACCGCAUGAAAGUGUGGCUAAUACGGGAUAUUCUGGGUCUGUCGCAUGAUGGGUCUGGGAAAGAUUGCGCCUUUGGGUGUUUUUGGUGGGGGAUGGGCUCGCGGCCUAUCAGCUUGUUGGUGGGGUGAUGGCCUACCAAGGCGGUGACGGGUAGCCGGCCUGGGGGGGUGGACGGUCACACUGGGACUGAGACACGGCCCAGACUCCUACGGGAGGCAGCAGUGGGGAAUAUUGCACAAUGGGAGCAAGCCUGAUGCAGCGACGCCGCGUGAGGGAUGGAGGCCUUCGGGUUGUAAACCUCUUUCGCUAGUGAAGCAGGCCUGCUCCGUGUGGGUGGGUUGACGGUAGCUGGAUAAGAAGCGCCGGCUAACUACGUG